This 429-nucleotide unclassified non-coding RNA is filed under the name Hevea brasiliensis (rubber tree). Lineage: Eukaryota; Viridiplantae; Streptophyta; Magnoliopsida; Malpighiales; Euphorbiaceae. The record is from RNAcentral.
GAAUGGUAAAGUUGCCUGGGGAGUAGGAGUACUACUAAUAUGGCCACUGGGCAUCAACUGUUCAAUUCAAAAGCUGGCCUCCUAAAAGUGAACUAUAUAUAAGGGGCACAGGCAAAGGAUCAAUAAAAGAGUUUGAGAUCCAUCCGAAAAAUAUAUAUGUUCCCAAGCUUAAUGAACCCAUUUGAAAACCCAGAGCUAACCAUCUCUCUAAAACAGAGGCAUAUUAAAAGUCUACUUCCUAACACAAGCAGUUUAAAGCUUUUGUAUCUUAGGCCCUUGAAGGCUGAUAUCAAGAGGCCGUGUCCUCAUCAAUCACCAUCUGAAUAUGUUUCUUCAGUUUUCUCCUUCGACGGUUACGGGCCCAGUAUUGAUUGCGUAGUACGAAUGCAUCUGUUGCCACUUUCUUCCCAUCAUCAUUUCGGUUCCAAU